Molecule: non-coding RNA, 151 nt
Filed under: Bradyrhizobium sp. BTAi1
Lineage: Bacteria; Pseudomonadati; Pseudomonadota; Alphaproteobacteria; Hyphomicrobiales; Nitrobacteraceae
Description: flg-Rhizobiales RNA
Rfam family: flg-Rhizobiales RNA
Source: RNAcentral
CGAACCCGCCGGCUUGGGAGAGCUGAACGGUUCAGGAAGACCCGCUGGACGCCGCCUUGGGAGAGGCACCGAAAGCGGUAUUCGUUAAAAGGGGAGAUCGACCGGUGGAGAAUGCGCUUCUCAUCGGAUUGUCGCGGCAGAUGGUGCUGGA